UACGCGAAACGGAAGUGACGGCAAGCUUCCGCUAGGCGCACGGUACGGUGAGAGGGACGGGACAAUCUAGGUGGGGACGGUGGCGCGAGCGCGAGGAGGCGCUGUGGAGGCUGAAGAACGGCGUUUGAGCAAAGAGGCGAGAUUCCCUGGGGGCAUGUAGUGGAGACAAACUGAUCAUUCUAUCAUAGAAUGUUGGAUGAAUACCUACCCCACAGUCCUAGACAGAGAGAUUGUGUAUGUAUAGAAACACGACUGAUUUUUGUGUGCUGAUUUUGUAUUCUGCAACUUUGCUGAAUCCAUUUAUUCUUUUUUUUUUG
Long non-coding RNA from Suricata suricatta (meerkat), 317 nucleotides. RefSeq lists it as uncharacterized. NCBI's taxonomy places the organism in Eukaryota, Metazoa, Chordata, Mammalia, Carnivora, Herpestidae. The transcript has 3 exons. The record is from RefSeq and is a predicted model, not a curated record.